Molecule: long non-coding RNA, 1365 nt
Organism: Balaenoptera acutorostrata (minke whale)
Lineage: Eukaryota; Metazoa; Chordata; Mammalia; Artiodactyla; Balaenopteridae
Exons: 5
Source: RefSeq, a predicted model, not a curated record
CCGCUCGAAGCUCCUCCCCCGAAGCCCCGCCCACUGAAGCUCCUCCCAUUCUUCCUCCCUACCCCUCCUUCCCUCUCCUCCUCUCCUUCCUCCUUCUCCAUUUCCUCACCCUGGUUUUCUCCGGGCGUUCUGUCCAGUCUUCUACCUUCCUGGCCCUAGUGGCAGCCGUUGGGCGUCGCACCAUCCAAGGCAGAGGCACUGUACUUGGAACAUCUAGUUUUCAUAGCCAGUGAACAGGGCUGCCAGAAUUGAAGCUCUGGCCUGUCUUCCUCCAAAUCUUCCUUUCCAUGACACCCUGCUGCUUCCCAGCUAACUGGCUACACCCAAGGAAGAAAUGAUGCUUCUGCCUGCUAUGUCUUCAUUGAUAAAAAGGGACUCGGGACUGAAUGUCUGUAGAGCACUGUAAAACUCCUCACUUAACAUCAUUGUGUUUAAAAGAUUGUAAUUUUGAAUGGGGAAAUGGUGAUCAAGGCCACAGCUUAACUUGCAAAUGUCAAGAAUGCUCAUCAUCCUUUGUUACUUUGUGAUUGAUUAAUAUGUUGGAUUGCUGACUUGUUGCUAAUGAGCUAAUUUAUAAGCCCAGAGAGGAUCUGACUAUUAAUGUAGAAGUAACAAGCAAACAACAAAGUGCUGCUGAGCAGGUCUGUGAGCACAGCGCUGUCCACAGCCCCACUCAGGAUGGGUGAGAGAGAGGAAUGCACAAGCGGUACAUCCCCACCUUCUCAAAAGAGACAAGAGGAAUAAACUGGAGGCUCCUUUGGCAAUUAUUAGUAUUUCCCCACCGCUUACGAAGUCGCUGCAUGUAAUAUUAAGAAACCACCACUAAGUGGCACUGUCUCACCAGUGUUCUCUUUUACCAGCAUGAUGAAGCCACCGUCACCUUUGGAUGGUGGAAUACAUUUAUUGUCCUGUGUUUGCUGAUUUGGUUUUAGCAAAAUCUUUCUGCUCUCAUCAUGCUUCUCUGGCUUUUUCUAUAUCCUUUCUUCUGUUUUCCUUUAGUUCUUGGGAAUCUGGGCCAAUGAUAGGCAUAGAAAUGGUGGCCACCGUGGUGAUAAUAAUCAUAUUAGACAACUUAAAGGAAAGAAACACUGAUUGUGACCUUUUAUUGAAGUCUUAUUAUGUGUUAAGGGCUUUCCAGGUAUUACUACCAAGAUUCGUGAGAACUCUGUGAGGUUGCCUUAGUUUUAUGAGCAAAGAAACCAAGGUUCAGAGAAUUGAAGCAACUUUCCCAAGGAUACCCAACAAGUAGGUGAUAAAAGCACAACAUGAGUCCAAGUGCAUGUAAUGUUAAGGCAUUAAUGAUCUUUGGAUCAUUCAUGGAACUUAAACAUUGGGUACAGUGAGAAAAACAGGAAGAGGCUAGGC